CACUAAAUAAAUAAAUAAAUUGCUUUAUUCUUUGACUUCUAUAAAUAUCGCCAAUUUGGUGCUCGUGUAAGAGUUUGUGUAUCUGAAAUAGUAAUUCCUUGUGUGUUCAAUCGCCGAUUGACUCUGUAGUCUUUUAAUUGAUUAAUUCUCCGGUCUCAGUGCUACUACUUUUUAAACUGUGAAUUUAAAAUUAAUUCGUCUUUUUUUCGAACGGUCUAUUUAUUAACAUCUUCGGCUGAUUUUGGGCCUUUGUAUGUGUAUUUAGCGCGGGCAUUAAUUAAACGAAGAUAAAUUGAAAUUGAAAAACUUCAAAUAUUUGUCUUUUUCGUAAGCCAAAGGAUACAUUUUAGCGAAUAAAUAUUUGUAUUAGGAAUUAUGUAACAUAUGUUAGAAAAUUGUGGUACAGUCAGUUUUUCAAACUCAUUCUUCGAAACUUUCAUACUUUAUUGGCCGACUUAUUUUUCAUUGCAUUUUCUUAAACAGAACUAUUGACCAUGUCGAAGAACUUUUCACAAAAACGUUGUAUACCUUCAGUUUAGUAUGUUUUGUGCUGUUUGUGUAGAAAAAUCUGUAAUUUUUAAUUUGUGCUUCAUGUGAUUUGUUGUUGUAUGCAUAGUUCACGAUAAUUUUUAUUCUACAAUGCAUUUACUUACAAAGUUAAACGCGACUGUAUCUUCCCUGCUCCCGACAGGAACUACUGUUAUUUGGGUUACUUGAUUUUAUUGUUUUUGUGGAAAUUUGCUUGAUACGUAUUGGGAGCACCAUUGGCGGUGUGUCAUGGAGUUUUAGCCGGUCUCGGGAAUUGACAUUUGCGUACAACUUUGUCACUGAACACUCUCUUUCAUAAUUGAUUUUGCACUGAACGUACUGUGCUGUAUUUUAAAUUGAAUAUACUCGACAAAUUACGUGUAGACAGACAGACAGACAGACAUCCCUCCACCCUGUUCGGCGCGCUCCACCAAUACGAAACACCGAAACAGCAACCGAUCUCAGUUGAGAGAUGAAACAUUCGUACGGACGAGUGGAUAUUAUCUGACCACUGCGUGUUUGUUUAAUGCAGUCUGUGUCAAUAUCAUACUGAUUUCGAAAAAAUGAUUGAUGCAAGUUAUAUGUAUUAAAUUAACAUUUUAUGGCUUGCGCUUUUCAUAUGUGGAGUGUGUGUUUAUGAUUAGUAACUAUUUUUACGUUCGUGAAAUUAUCUAUCAUACCAGAUUGGGAAAAUAUAUAUAUAUAUAUCUCGCGUUGCACAGAAUUAGGUUAAAAUAUAUUUUUGUGCCAUUGAGCGUUGAUCUUUUAAUCGUGUUCUCAAAUGAUACAUUCUUCGUGGUUUGCAACAAUUCCAUGAUGACCCACUGUAGAUCGUAAUAUACUAAUUUAAACCCACGAAAUUUAGCGGGAACCAUAUGUACCACCUGUUUUAACAGUCAGUAGCUGUGAAUUUUGUACCGGUCAGUAUAAUCUGGGAUUAUUUACUCAAAACAGCAUUAACAGAUUGGUCUUUGUAAUUAUGAAUUGUUGUGUUUUCUUUGCGGUACGGACAGAAUUAUUUAAUAUGUAGACGAGCUUCGGCUAUAAAGGUCAAGCUAUUGUGGAAACGUUUAAUUCUAACGUGUAAUAUUGUAGAAUGCUGUAACCAUAGAAAUGCAGACGCGGAUUGAACGUGGUGAAGCAGUCAGUUAUCUCGUGAACACGUCACCGUCUGCUGGAAGAAUGAGUCGUCGGAUCGAGCUAUUUUGAAGCUUCUUACACAUUCUGUUUAUAACCGCGCGAGAGUGUGUUUCGGUACCUUUUAGUGGCGUCUAGUCUACGUACUCCGGAGUUCGUGUUCUGGUAUUUGGUUGUCAUAGCAACUUGUACGGAAGUGAAUUCUUAUACGCUUAACUCCUGCGGUUAAAAUCAUUGUGCAACAGCUUCUGGACUGUGAAGAAUCGGAUAUUGUUACUCAGAGUUCAUCUUAGUUCGAGAAGUUUUCAUUCGUUAGACCCGGAAGUUAUGAAUGAUCUGUCCCAGUUCUGUGACUAGUGGCGUAGAAAGAUAAGCGGUUGGAGAAUGUCUCAUUACCGCCCUUUGUGAAGCGCUACUUGAAAAUUACACAGUCUACAGUGUGUUCUGUAGAACAGUGAACGGUACUUUUGCGUCAUGAAUCGGCCCGAAUGGAGUCCGCCGUGGUCACCUGUUCCUUGAUGUUCAUCUCUCCUUCCACAGUGGGAUGUUACUGACAUAAUGCCUUUCAUCUGCCAAUUAACAUGAGCAUUUAACGUGAUUUAAUUUAAUCAAAUAUCUUUUAAUUUAACCUGAUUUAGUCAAAUAUUAAUGCAGAAAAAUGUAAAAAUACUUAUUUACGUCUAUGACAUGUUUAUUCUGUGUAUAUUAAAAUUUUACUGUAAUAGUAUUUGUUAAAAAACAAGACCGUUUCUGACCUGGUCAGGUGCAUGUGUACCUGACCAUGUUUGGACUAAUCUUCAAGAACGCACAAAAGUUGCAUUAUCGCUGUUUGUGGUAAUAUAUAUUUUUUUAUUUUCAAACUUUUUUCUUGGCAGAAAGAAUGCACUCGGUGGUUACAUGUAUAAACUGAGACUUCCUGAUAGGAUGUCUUUUAGCCAUUGUAAACAACAUUGUUCUCAAAAUUAAGAUACCUGAUAAUUUAAUAAAUUGUUUUUUCUCUCUCGUAA
Molecule: non-coding RNA, 2672 nt
Organism: Zootermopsis nevadensis
Lineage: Eukaryota; Metazoa; Arthropoda; Insecta; Blattodea; Termopsidae
Source: RefSeq, a predicted model, not a curated record